AGGACGAACGCUGGCGGCGUGGCUAAGACAUGCAAGUCGUACGGGACCGGAGCAAUCCGGUCCAGUGGCGGACGGGUGAGUAAUGUAUCGCUAACGUACCCCGAAAUCUGGGAUAGCCAUCCGAAAGGAUGGGUAAUACCAGGUAACAUCACCGGAAGGCAUCUUCUGGUGCUCAUAGGGUCACCGUUUUCGGGAGCGGGGCGAGUAUACGGUAUCAAGUCUAGUUGGCGGGGUAACGGCCCACCAAGGCGACGACGCGUAGCCGGACUGAGAGGUUGGCCGGCCACAUUGGGACUGAGACACUUCCCAGACUCCUACGGGGGGCUGCAGUAACGAAUCUUCCGCAAUGCACGCAAGUGUGACGGAGCGACGCCGCGUGUGGGACGAAGCCCCUUGGGGUGUAAACCACUGUCAGAGGAUAGAAAGUUCUGAUCGUCCUCAGAGGAAGGCACGGCUAACUCUGUGCCAGCAGCCGC
This 476-nucleotide ribosomal RNA is filed under the name uncultured bacterium. Its description in RNAcentral is "SSU rRNA". It matches the Rfam family "Bacterial small subunit ribosomal RNA", at positions 26 to 518 of the family's 1533-position model. The record is from RNAcentral.